Molecule: ribosomal RNA, 253 nt
Filed under: uncultured bacterium
Lineage: Bacteria
Description: partial 16S ribosomal RNA
Rfam family: Bacterial small subunit ribosomal RNA
Source: RNAcentral
UACGUAGGGGGCAAGCGUUGUCCGGAAUCAUUGGGCGUAAAGCGUGCGUAGGUGGUUUUUUAAGUCUGUCGUGAAAGCCCUGGGCUCAACCUGGGAACGGCGAUGGAUACUGGAAAGCUAGAGUGCGGUAGAGGGGUGUGGAAUUCCCGGUGUAGCGGUGAAAUGCGUAGAGAUCGGGAGGAACACCAGUGGCGAAGGCGGCACCCUGGACCAGCACUGACACUGAGGCACGAAAGCGUGGGGAGCAAACAGG